This 18-nucleotide unclassified non-coding RNA is filed under the name Mus musculus (house mouse). Its description in RNAcentral is "oocyte_clustered_small_RNA4131". Lineage: Eukaryota; Metazoa; Chordata; Mammalia; Rodentia; Muridae. The record is from RNAcentral.
UACAUCCCAGGACUCCCA